This 253-nucleotide ribosomal RNA is filed under the name uncultured bacterium. RNAcentral's name for it is "partial 16S ribosomal RNA". It matches the Rfam family "Bacterial small subunit ribosomal RNA", at positions 524 to 776 of the family's 1533-position model. The record is from RNAcentral.
UACAGAGGCUGCAAGCGUUAUUCGGAUUCACUGGGCGUAAAGGGUGCGCAGGCGGCCAUGUGUGUUAGGCGUGAAAGCCCGGGGCUUAACCCCGGAAUUGCACCUCAAACUACAUGGCUAGAGCAUUGGAGAGGGUAGCAGAAUUCAUGGUGUAGCAGUGAAAUGCGUAGAUAUCAUGAGGAAUACCAGAGGCGAAGGCGGCUACCUGGACAAUUGCUGACGCUCAGGCACGAAAGCGUGGGGAGCAAAAGGG